Oncorhynchus tshawytscha (Chinook salmon) is the source of this 442-nucleotide long non-coding RNA. The record is from Ensembl. NCBI's taxonomy places the organism in Eukaryota, Metazoa, Chordata, Actinopteri, Salmoniformes, Salmonidae.
CCUGUUAUUGUUAUUUUAGAGUGGUACAAUAAGGGAUCACACACAGCAACAUAGCGGUCAAUAGAUAUCAAGACCAAAUUGCCAAGCGAUAAAGUAGUACAUAAAAAAGUAAUGUAGAAAUGAAACACACAGAAAUAUUCUCCAAAACCCCAGCAUGGUUCCAUUAUUGCUACAGUCAUUACUGGUAUCACAAUCAGUCCCACCAGGAGAUCUGACGCAGCCAGAGAGAGAAUGAGCAGGUUGGUUGUAGUGUGGAGCUGCUUGAAGUGAGAGAUGGAGAUGAUCACCAGUAGGUUCAACAAUACUGUAACUGCUGAAAUCAAUGAGAAGAAGAUGUACAGUGUUAUGUAGAUAGAUGUCGAUAGAAAAGCCUUUCUGCAAGAAGAGUUUCUGUCUUGAAAACAGUAUUGAACAUCUUCAUGUGUCUCCAUUUGUAAUAAAA